AUGCCCAGAAUUCAAAAACUGAGUCAUCGUCCAUCCCUUCGGACCGAUGGCUGCUAUGAAGUUCCUGAUAUUGAGGAUCUUCCUAGGGCCGGAACACAAGUCAAAGUGUCAUUCAAUGGUUUCCUUAGUUGCAAGACAAUGGCUCCCUAUGUUACCGAUCCGGUGUUGCUGUGCGUGAGGACGGACAUGGGGAAGGUGCAACAAGGCAGCGCUCAAGUUGCAGUGGAGUGGAGUCGACCAUCACUACUGACCGCUGCUCGGCGAUCCUCGCCCCUCACCCCCCAUCUAGAUGUGGUUAGGAACUAA
Molecule: ribosomal RNA, 306 nt
Filed under: Triticum aestivum (bread wheat)
Lineage: Eukaryota; Viridiplantae; Streptophyta; Magnoliopsida; Poales; Poaceae
Description: partial small subunit ribosomal RNA
Source: RNAcentral